This 379-nucleotide long non-coding RNA is filed under the name Vigna radiata. Its description in RNAcentral is "long non-coding RNA (VRAD_LNC013740)". The record is from RNAcentral. Lineage: Eukaryota; Viridiplantae; Streptophyta; Magnoliopsida; Fabales; Fabaceae.
ACAUAUCAUAGCAGAAUAAAACAACAAACAUCUAAUUAUGAUUCUCAAAAAUGGAAUCAGCACCCUAAAUGAAAUAUGCUAUGGAAACACUCAAUUGACUCCAACAUUAUUUCCUAUAUGAGUGUACUCANUAUGUAUAUUACUAGAUAUUUGAAACAUAAGGUCUAUGUAGAUUCUUGAAAUAAAAGGGAAUCAGUUCAAGGCAAGGUUGAUCCGCAUACCACCCAAAUUCCAAACAAAUAGAGUAAAAAUAUGUUAAUGAAAGGCCAUCGUUUUAUAAAAAACUUAGUUGAAACCAUAAAUUAGGCUAGUUAGCUGAAUCCAUUCCUAAAUGAUUGGCAGCAUGACACUUUUCCCCAUCUGAAUUUCAUUCCUCUCU